RNAcentral lists this ribosomal RNA (301 nucleotides) under uncultured bacterium. RNAcentral describes it as "partial 16S ribosomal RNA". It matches the Rfam family "Bacterial small subunit ribosomal RNA", at positions 509 to 807 of the family's 1533-position model. The record is from RNAcentral.
CAGCAGCCGCGGUAACACGUAGGGUGCGAGCGUUAAUCGGAAUUACUGGGCGUAAAGCGUGCGCAGGCGGUUUUGUAAGACAGGCGUGAAAUCCCCGGGCUCAACCUGGGAAUGGCGCUUGUGACUGCAAAGCUAGAGUGCGGCAGAGGGGGAUGGAAUUCCGCGUGUAGCAGUGAAAUGCGUAGAUAUGCGGAGGAACACCGAUGGCGAAGGCAAUCCCCUGGGCCUGCACUGACGCUCAUGCACGAAAGCGUGGGGAGCAAACAGGAUUAGAUACCCGCGUAGUCCCUGUCUCUUAUAC